AAGGAUAUUGACGGGGGCCCCGCACAAGAGAUGGAGCAUGUGGUUUUAUUCGAUGCGACGCGAAGAACCUUACCUGGGCUUGAACUGUGGUGGACCGCCCUAGAAAUAGGGUUUCCCCUUCGGGGGCCGCCAUAGAGGUGCUGCAUGGCUGUCGUCAGCUCGUGUCGUGAUGAUGUUGGGUUAAGUCCCGCAACGAGCGCAACCCCUAUCCCUAGUUGCCAACGGGUCAUGCCGGGAACUCUAGGGAGACUGCCCCGGAAAUCGGGGAGGAAGGUGGGGAUGACGUCAAGUCCUCAUGGCCUUUAUGUCCAGGGCUACACACGUGCGUACAAUGGGUCGGCACUAAAGGGUUGACGAAGUCGCGAGGCAGAGCUAAUCCCAAUAAAGCCGUCCUCUAGUACGUGAUUGCAGUCAUGCAACUCGACUGCAUGAAGUCUGGUAAUCGUCAUA
RNAcentral lists this ribosomal RNA (450 nucleotides) under uncultured bacterium. RNAcentral's name for it is "bacterial SSU rRNA". It matches the Rfam family "Bacterial small subunit ribosomal RNA", at positions 903 to 1349 of the family's 1533-position model. The record is from RNAcentral.